RNAcentral lists this transfer RNA (75 nucleotides) under Nitrososphaeria archaeon. RNAcentral describes it as "tRNA-Arg". It matches the Rfam family "tRNA". From Rfam's summary of the family: Transfer RNA (tRNA) molecules are approximately 80 nucleotides in length. Their secondary structure includes four short double-helical elements and three loops (D, anti-codon, and T loops). Lineage: Archaea; Thermoproteati; Nitrososphaerota; Nitrososphaeria. The record is from RNAcentral.
GGGCCCGUGGCGUAGAAUGGACAGCGCACCGGCCUUCUAAGUCGGGGGUCGCGGGUUCGAAUCCCGCCGGGCCCG